AGUGAACGCUGGCGGUAGGCCUAACACAUGCAAGUCGAACGGCAGCACAGUAAGAGCUUGCUCUUACGGGUGGCGAGUGGCGGACGGGUGAGGAAUACAUCGGAAUCUACUUUUUCGUGGGGGAUAACGUAGGGAAACUUACGCUAAUACCGCAUACGACCUACGGGUGAAAGCAGGGGAUCUUCGGACCUUGCGCGAUUGAAUGAGCCGAUGUCGGAUUAGCUAGUUGGCGGGGUAAAGGCCCACCAAGGCGACGAUCCGUAGCUGGUCUGAGAGGAUGAUCAGCCACACUGGAACUGAGACACGGUCCAGACUCCUACGGGAGGAAGCAGUGGGGACUAUUGGACAAUGGGGGCAAGCCUGAUACAGCAAUACCGCGUGGGUGAAGAAGGCCUUCGGGUUGUAAAGCCAUUUUGUUGGGAAAGAAAAGCAGCAGGUUAAUACCCCGCUGUUCUGACGGUACCCAAAGAAUAAGCACCGGCUAACUUCGUG
RNAcentral lists this ribosomal RNA (492 nucleotides) under uncultured bacterium. Its description in RNAcentral is "partial 16S ribosomal RNA". It matches the Rfam family "Bacterial small subunit ribosomal RNA", at positions 29 to 507 of the family's 1533-position model. The record is from RNAcentral.